This is a long non-coding RNA of Nerophis ophidion (straightnose pipefish), 1921 nucleotides long. RefSeq lists it as uncharacterized. Lineage: Eukaryota; Metazoa; Chordata; Actinopteri; Syngnathiformes; Syngnathidae. The transcript is spliced from 4 exons. The record is from RefSeq and is a predicted model, not a curated record.
ACCAGCAGGACAUUUCACCUCGAGAGAUAGAUCGCAGAUGGAGAAAGAAAUUCCCGUUUUGUGAGAAAAAGGUGAACAGAAGAGAGGAAAAUACCAAAAGUUGUAGUGAGGAGCACGCACUGGUCAGCAUACUUUUUCAAUAAACUUGUCCAAAUGAUUUCAUAGUGCAAAGAAGGAUCCACUCGCUUUUCCACUGCGGGGGGAAGAUGAUGAAAUGAAGAUGACAGAAAGGUGACAGGAAUAACCCAAAGCCCACGCUUGACUUUCACAGUCCAACGUUAUGAUUCACCUAACAAAACCGCUACACACACACACACACACACACACACACAAAUCUGUGUCCGGCACCGACGGGACCGGGGGGAUGAGAGAAGGCGUGGACUCGUAAGGGAGGGUUCUAUUCCCUGGGUAACGGGCCUUGGCCGAGGAACUGAGAGGUGUUUUGGCUUGUGUUGCGUUCGGGGAGAGUGCAGCUUCUCCCAGAAGGAGGCUAUAAAAAGACAAAGGAGACAGGAGGCCAUGUGGAGAGACUGUUGAAAGGGAGCAAAAAACACCCACUCCAAAAAAAAAAGGAGACACAUUUCAAACAAACAAUACAAAAUGACUUCCAUGCAAACACCAAAUUCCUGUGUUCGGCGUCUCUGUCUUGAGGGAUUUAACCCGUUUUUUUUCUUCGACAGGACUUGUUUGCAUGUCGGCCACACCUCACAGCAUCCGGAAGAGGGACAAGUCAUCACUUCAGGUCAAAUGUAACGAUUACGAGGGCAUCGUGAUGCGGGUCAUUCUCUCAAUGAUGCAGUCGGGCUCCAACACAGCGUGAAGGGUCAAAUCUAACGAUUACGAGGGCAUCGUGAUGCGGGGCAUUCUCUCAAUGAUGCAGUCGGGCUCCAACACAGCGUUAAGACCGCGCCCACUCACAGCCCCAGUCGGAGGCAAUCUGCAAUCAACGCAUCUGGGUUUAAUAACGGACGACAGGAUAAAGAGCCUCGUCGCUGACCUCCCUUCGACGGAACGUAGCUCUGUUCGCAGAAAACUUUGCGUCUCCGACUUCCCUCCUGAUCUCGCUCGUUUGCUUGUUUCCUCGUGCCUUUUUCAUGAUCCCAUUUUUGUGUCUUGUUUUCCCCCACAGUCACUCGUGUCUCAGCUUCCACUGUUGCCUUUCCCCCCUGGACCUUGUUUGCCCUCCCCGAUCCUUGACCCCUGCUUUGGAGUUCCGGACUUCUCCUUCCUGCCUACGACCCCGCUCGGACCUCGGACGUCUUGGCUUCUUCCCCUCGGAUUCGGACGCUGUACAUCCACUUAAACAAACCUCACGGUAUUUACAUACAGUUAAUUUCCACACAUAGUUUUCUAUUCAAACACAUGGUAGCAUACACACCCCAUACAAUCAUCAAGCACUCAAUAAAUCUGUUGAGCUUGAUCCAUUGUUGUCGUGCCGUCUCCUUCCCCAGUCCUUACAUAACAGAUUUUUGUUUGUGUGCCAUGUUGUUCCAGACCACAGCAAACAUUACCUAGCUUGCAAAGAUUAUAAUGAAUCCAUUAGAAGAAGACAGGCUGCAGUUUCCUUCAACUUGGACACACACAUUCUGGCCAUUCUAAACCAGUAAUUUCCAGAAGUUAUCUCACACUCUGAUAAACCUAUGUUUUAUUAAUGUUUUCCAAUGUAAAAAAAUAUAUUCACAUUUCAAAAUUUCUGUAACGAAUAUUUGCGUCAGCAUGAGACACAAAUCAAUUUUGAUAGUAGGCUACUAUUGUUGUGUUUUUACUGUUUUCCUGCCUUCUCUUUGGUCUGCAGCUGUGCUUUUAGUGAUUCGUCCUCGGCGAGGGGCGGACCUUGAGGCCCACCUGUUUGCAAUUAGCACACCGGUAUUUAGGCUCAUCACUGUCAGCUUGGCUUCGCCGGUUAUUUUCUCCGGUACUC